GAUGAAGAACGUAGCGAAAUGCGAUACGUAAUGUGAAUUGCAAAUUCAGUGAAUCAUCGAGUCUUUGAACGCACAUUGCGCCCCCUGGUAUUCCGGGGGGCAUGCCUGUCCGAGCGUCAUUGCUGCCCUCAAGCACGGCUUGUGUGUUGGGCCCCGUCCUCCGAUUCCGGGGGACGGGCCCGAAAGGCAGCGGCGGCACCGCGUCCGGUCCUCGAGCGUAUGGGGCUUUGUCACCCGCUCUGUAGGCCCGGCCGGCGCUUGCCGAUCAACCCAAAUUUUUAUCCAGGUUGACCUCGGAUCAGGUAGGGAUACCAGCUGAACUUAAGCAUAUCAAUAAGCGGAGGA
Molecule: unclassified non-coding RNA, 345 nt
Filed under: soil metagenome
Description: partial contains 5.8S ribosomal RNA, internal transcribed spacer 2, and large subunit ribosomal RNA
Rfam family: 5.8S ribosomal RNA (bases 1-119)
Source: RNAcentral